UUGGCGUCUGUUCCUACUUUAUAUUUUUCUUUCUUUGGAAACAGAUAGAGCAGUUGUUUCUAAUUGUUAAUGGAGCAAGCUAUGUGUUGAUCACCCGUUUUGACUUUAGUUUGGGAUACUUUGAUUUGGGCUUUUGUUUUCAAGAGAGGUUGAGUUCUUGUGUUUGGUGUUUUUACUUUAUGGAGAUGUGUUAGUGUUAUGAGCAGUAAUUGAAUUUUGAUUCAUGUCCAGGUGCGAAAAAAUUAGGGAUCCACUAUAUAUUAUUUUGAUGCGUUUGUAGCUAAUAGUUAUUCGAGGUAUGAAUUUUAUUAAAAGAGGUGUUAAAGAAAACUGAUGUGUACGACGUUAAUACGUCUGUAGAGAUUUUUAUAUGAAAUCAACAUAUCUUCAAAUCUGCACGUAUAUCAGUUUAUGUUGUCUAGGUCUUUCUCGUGGCAGCUAGCUAAGGGGUUCUGUUGUUAUGACGACUUAUUAUGAAAUUUGAUUUGCUUUGUAGACUGUGAUUUGUUGGAGCAUUAUUUUGCUAUGUUUCUAACAGGUCUCAUCCCUCACUUUGUUUUGUUCAAAUAUAAAUUGUUUGCUUAACUCUCGUUUUUCAGAGGAGAAUAACAGCACGACGAAAUUAAUUUUUGAAGAGUUUUAACUUUUUAAAA
Molecule: long non-coding RNA, 653 nt
Filed under: Brassica napus (rape)
Lineage: Eukaryota; Viridiplantae; Streptophyta; Magnoliopsida; Brassicales; Brassicaceae
Description: long non-coding RNA (BNAP_LNC014909)
Source: RNAcentral